RNAcentral lists this non-coding RNA (254 nucleotides) under Conticribra weissflogii. Lineage: Eukaryota; Bacillariophyta; Thalassiosirophyceae; Thalassiosirales; Thalassiosiraceae. The record is from RNAcentral.
AAAAUGUGUUCUUAUUUGUGUGUUUAUAUACAUGAUUUUCUAUUUUUUAUUUUGGUUUUCUUGACUUCUAUCUAAUUCCUACUGCUCAUCGGCUUCGGACUUUCAUCUGGCAGGACGGACGGUCAUAUAACUUUCGUUUUCUUGACGUCCAAUUCUAGACAAGCAACCGAGAUUCGUCAGAGGACUUGAAAAAGUUUUUUGUCGUCUAGUUGUUUGUUCAUUUUUUGUGCAUUUGUCACCGCUAGACAACAAAG